CCUACGGGGCGCAGCAGUGAGGAAUAUUGGUCAAUGGGCGGAAGCCUGAACCAGCCAAGUCGCGUGAGGGAAUAAGGCCCUACGGGUCGUAAACCUCUUUUGCCGGGGAGCAAGGGCGGGGACGUGUCCCGGCCCGGAGAGUACCCGGAGAAAAAGCAUCGGCUAACUCCGUGCCAGCAGCCGCGGUAAUACGGAGGAUGCGAGCGUUAUCCGGAUUUAUUGGGUUUAAAGGGUGCGCAGGCGGUCUGUUAAGUCAGCGGUCAAAGCCCGGGGCUCAACCCCGGCCCGCCGUUGAAACUGGCAGU
RNAcentral lists this ribosomal RNA (305 nucleotides) under uncultured bacterium. Its description in RNAcentral is "bacterial SSU rRNA". It matches the Rfam family "Bacterial small subunit ribosomal RNA", at positions 338 to 640 of the family's 1533-position model. The record is from RNAcentral.